RNAcentral lists this ribosomal RNA (636 nucleotides) under Pseudoxanthomonas sp. Ri1Ps_4728. RNAcentral describes it as "bacterial SSU rRNA". It matches the Rfam family "Bacterial small subunit ribosomal RNA", at positions 380 to 1007 of the family's 1533-position model. The record is from RNAcentral. RNAcentral also lists the same sequence under 2 other names. Lineage: Bacteria; Pseudomonadati; Pseudomonadota; Gammaproteobacteria; Lysobacterales; Lysobacteraceae.
AGCCUGAUCCAGCCAUACCGCGUGGGUGAAGAAGGCCUUCGGGUUGUAAAGCCCUUUUGUUGGGAAAGAAAAGCAUUCGGUUAAUACCCGGGUGUUCUGACGGUACCCAAAGAAUAAGCACCGGCUAACUUCGUGCCAGCAGCCGCGGUAAUACGAAGGGUGCAAGCGUUACUCGGAAUUACUGGGCGUAAAGCGUGCGUAGGUGGUUGUUUAAGUCCGUUGUGAAAGCCCUGGGCUCAACCUGGGAAUUGCAGUGGAUACUGGGCAACUAGAGUGUGGUAGAGGAUAGUGGAAUUUCCGGUGUAGCAGUGAAAUGCGUAGAGAUCGGAAGGAACAUCUGUGGCGAAGGCGACUAUCUGGGCCAACACUGACACUGAGGCACGAAAGCGUGGGGAGCAAACAGGAUUAGAUACCCUGGUAGUCCACGCCCUAAACGAUGCGAACUGGAUGUUGGGUUCAACUUGGAACCCAGUAUCGAAGCUAACGCGUUAAGUUCGCCGCCUGGGGAGUACGGUCGCAAGACUGAAACUCAAAGGAAUUGACGGGGGCCCGCACAAGCGGUGGAGUAUGUGGUUUAAUUCGAUGCAACGCGAAGAACCUUACCUGGUCUUGACAUCCACGGAACUUUCUAGAGAU